Camelina sativa (false flax) is the source of this 912-nucleotide long non-coding RNA. RefSeq lists it as uncharacterized. NCBI's taxonomy places the organism in Eukaryota, Viridiplantae, Streptophyta, Magnoliopsida, Brassicales, Brassicaceae. The record is from RefSeq and is a predicted model, not a curated record.
ACAAAUCUUUUCUAAUAAUUUGAAACGAAAACCGUAUGCAACAUCCCACAUAAAUCGGAUAUUGCCAAAUGUGGGUAUCAUGAUACAACAACAUUAGUGGCCAAAGACUCUUUCUUUCUCUCUCUUCUCUUUCUACGAUUGUGUUCGCUCUAGACGCCCCAAAAAAUAUUGAACCCACCGGUGAACGGCGUUCGGUGGCUUCCACAGCACCGAUGCCGGGAAAGAGGACGUGACAGAGCUUGAAGACGACAUCAGAUCUUCUUCUUUUAGCCUUCGGCUUGGGUUUUCCCGGCGCGAUUUCGGUUUGGAUGGAUCGAUUUUAUCUCUCUCCUGCGGCUCUUCGUGGUGGCAACUUUCUGGUGCGGAGCUUCAUGGUGAGGAGUCUCUCAGUAGCUGUUCAGAGUGGCUGCGGCGGUGGUGUUGUGGAGGUUUCAGAGCGGAUCCGUUUGAGGCUUUGAUGUGGCUUUGUUGGUGGCUCAGUUUAUGUUGCCUUGUGUGUAGCUGUUUGUUGUUUGUUGUUUUCUUGUUCAUGCUGCGACUUUGGCGAAGUAGGGAGGAGUUAAUGAGAGAUGGUUAUUGAAACCAUGAAAGACGAUUUGCUCGGCCAUUUUUGUUUUAGCUUUUGUCUCCUCUAGGGGAAGUGUAUAGGGGAGUCUCAUGUUGUGAGUAAGAUGGAGCCGGCUUAUUCAUCUCUCGUGCUAGCAGCAGCAUUGGAUUCUGAUGAGCAUUUCCCAAGCCGCUAGUGUUGUCACUUGAUUGAUCAAUGGUGGUUCCGGUCUGUGGUUUUAACCACAGUUUUCGAGCGUUUUUUGAUCGAGAAAGUUGUAGGUACUAGGUUUGAAGACUGCCUUGAUUGCGUACGCUCGCGGCAAUUUUGAGUUCAUGUUGUGCUCUGCAUUUGUCUUUCUCUAU